Long non-coding RNA from Lagenorhynchus albirostris (white-beaked dolphin), 1233 nucleotides. RefSeq lists it as uncharacterized. The record is from RefSeq and is a predicted model, not a curated record. Lineage: Eukaryota; Metazoa; Chordata; Mammalia; Artiodactyla; Delphinidae. The transcript is spliced from 3 exons.
UAUUUCCCUACCUUGGAGAAGUGGUCUUUUGUAGGAGACAUACUAUGCAUCCAGGUAGCAUAUUACCUGCUCAUAACCCAAACUAUAGGCUCUAGAGGCUUCAUCUAUGAGGGCUUCAGGGGUCUUUCUGUUGUGGUGGGCUGACUAUAUGGGAUUCUGGUAGGGUUGGUUGGCCCCUGGUCAGGUUGAUUGCCAGGCCCUACCUUGUCCAGAGGCUGCCAGCCACUGGUUGGUGGGACCAGGACAUGAAGAAGCUGACUAUGGAACCCCAGGGGGCUCCAGGUCUUAUGCUGGCUCACUGCUGGGCUGAGUCAGAGUCUAGAAGACUCAGGGUGUUGCCUACCCACUGGUGUGUGAAGCCAAGUUCUGGGGUUAGAGCCAGGUCCUGGAGUCUGGUUGCAAAACCCAGGGACCCCAGAGUUGGUGUUGGAUUGCUAGUGGGGCAGGGUAGUUUCUGACACAGUUGGGUCUGGGGUUCAGGGUUUCCUAAAGCUUGUUGGCCUGAUAGUGGGCAGGGCCAGGGCCCAGCUAGUCUCAGGACAGAAUCUGGCCUGCUGAUGGGCAGGCUGGGUCCACAGGCUGUAGGAUUCUGGGUUUCUUGAGUCUGGUGUCUGCCCCCUGGUGGGUGAGGUUGGUCCAGAGGCUAGAACAGGCUCCCUUAAGGGCAGGGCUUGGGCCCAGGGUAUUCUUGGACUGGUGCCUGCUCACUGGUGGGUGGAGCUGUAUCCUGGGCCCUCUGGGAGGUGGCAGGGUCAUGUCUAGAGGUGGCAGGGUCAUGUCUAGAGGUGGUUGCGGGCUCAGGGGAUCUUAAGGCAGCCAGUCCCUGAUGAGUGGGGCUGUGAACCCACUCAUUAGUUGCUUGGCCUCAGACAUCCCAGCACUGAACACCUACAGGCUGUUGGGUGGGACCAUGUCUUUGUGCUAAUGAGCUAGAGGAGUAUUCCACAAUGGUGCUUGCUAGUAUCAUUGUCCAUGUGGUAGAAGGAGCUCCCAACAACUGCUGCCUACAGUGUCUAUAUUCUGAGGUUGAGCUGCAGUUGCCUCCUGCUUCUCCUGCAGACUCUCCAGAUCAUCAGGCUCCGGAUGCACAGGCUCAGCAGCCAUGGCUCACGGGCCCAGCAGCUCCGCGACAUGUGGGAUCUUCCCGGACUGGGGCAUGAACCCGUGUCCCCUGCAUCGGCAGGCGGACUCUCAACCACUGCGCCACCAGUCUGCUGAUGCCUGGGAAACCAC